UAUCUUGUUUCGUUUCUCAUCGUUGCAAAAGAUUUAUUUUUUCGAUUCGAUUGUUCCUUAGAUAAUUAAUAUUUACGCGAGAGAAGAAUCGUCUGGUAAGUAUUUAUUUAUGUAUUUCCAUUUAAUUCAAUUUACCAGAUACUUUUUGAAAAUUAAGAGAAUUAAAAUUAUUCAACUUCCAAUCGAAAGAUAUUCUAAAAGUCCAAUUGCACCGUUUAUUUUCCAUACCGUAAAAUAAUUUCAAAAAUUUCGAGUGUAGUUAGAGAAACGACAUGCUGAACGAUUUUCAAUAUUCCUUAAAUCUAGAUACUGUUGAAGAGAGUAUAUAAUACAAAAAGAAAAAAGAAAAAAAAAAGAAAAUUCAUUCGAAAAAUGAAACUAAAUAAAAACGAAAGGGAACGAAUCGUUUCCAAAUGAAAACAUUCAACAAACGUAGAGAAAAAGAUAUAAGAGGAAACCGUUGCAGAACCGUUUAUUGGAAACUCCAACAUGGUGGCUUGUCGGUCAACUGGCCAACUUUCUAUCGAUAGAAAAAAAAAAAAAAAAAAAUUGUACGGUUUCUCUUUAGUCGGCCAGUGGUAUUGCCACACCAGCCCUUGGAACAUCCGGGCGGAGAUGCAAAAAAUAUUGGAAACUUCUUCCCCCCGGACUUUCUAACUUUUGGCCCUCGCAGUUCCGCAAUAUAUCCUUCCACGAUCUCCACGCGUAACCGAAAACCUUCGUCCGCUGUGUUGUGAGGACUCGAAGUGGAUCGACUCGAAUAGACGGAAAUUUUUGUCAAUAUUUCGUUCGUAUGUUUACAGUGCUGUGACCUCUGAAUAUGUUUACAUUACAUCAGUGGCAGUUUCGUUGUGCGAGGUUCGCUCGGCGCGAUGAAGAUAAGGAAGAUUUGAAUUUGGACAAAGGAAAAGAUUACGAGUCGAGUCGAGUCGGGGCAAACGAUUUGGAAAAGAUCGGGAUCCGCAACAUUGUGCAAAAUGAGGGAAGGAGAGGCUGUAAUAAAAUAAAAGGUUGACCAAACGUCCUUCCACGGACGGAGGAGGAAUGGAGGAGCAAGUUUUUCGAGGCGAGAACACCCGCCCACCCGAGUGCUCCGCCAAUUCGACUUGGAAACCCGGCUUAUCUUCCUUGGGAUGGACGCCCACCAUGACCGUUCUGAAUUUUUAUUCUUUUCGCGUCGGGGAUUGAAUUCUUCGCACAAAGGGUCGAUAGGAGAGGACGCCCGGAUAUUACACGUCGAUUUCAAUUGCGAUUAUCGAUUCUCCCAUAUUUCAAGAUGGCGGACCUGCAAAUUCGUCAAGGAUAUUUUCGUGUAUGAACGAUUUCACGUUUCGAGCUCGACCAGGGGGGUGUGAAGAAGGGUAAUUCGUAAUAAUUCGUGUUCAAAAACAAUUUCGAAGAUGAAGAAGAUAUAUAAUCCGAUGAGAUCGAUUUCGUUCUCGAACAAAAAAUUAAAUUAAUCGUGAUUAUAGCUCUUUUCGUUUCAAGAAAAUACUUUCUGCCUUUAAUCGAUUUUAUUCGCCUCGAGAAAUCGAUGAAUCGUUGGAUCGAGGAAAGUUGAAUUCACGCAAUCGAUGGAACAAGAUGGAAGCCGGAGGUUGAUGACGAGAGGGGGGGCGGGAGAGUUUCGUUUUUGCCCCAGCUAAUCCCAUUCGCGUAUAACGGAGCAAUUCCAUUAAGGACAGGAGUGUGGUGGGCCGGCAAGGGUCGAUUCGGAGAACAAUUCGAUCGAAUCGCGAAUUCCGUUUAAUGGGGGGAUGGAGUUGCCAGUCGUUCUCUUCCUCGAUUGAGACGUUGCUUGCAUUAUCCACUGCUUUUCUAAUUUAUUUAUUCAAGAAUAUUGGAUCGAAUUAAUCUUUAUUAAAGAUUAUUCCGAUUUCGUUUUCUUCGAAAAAUGAGAAUAUUAUAUACGAUAAUUAUAUCGAGGAUAAAUAAUAAAAAGAGAGAGAGAGAGAGAAGUAUAAUAACGAAUUUUUAUUCAUUAAGAAUUUUUUCUGGAUUUUUUUCUUUUUAAAUUUAGCUUUUUAUUGGACAACUUAUUUUGCAUUCGUCCAAUUUCCAUGUUAAUUAAUUUCUAAACAUGAGCAGUUAAUUCGAUGGAUUGAGAAAGAAAUCACGAUUGUCUCUGCAAUAAAAUAUGGUUAAUGAUUUAAUCAACGAGAUGCUUUGAGAGGCAGAGGUCGAACAAUGUUGGAAUGCGUUGAAAACGGUAGCUCGUUAAUCCAAUUAAGAAUGCGAUUUUUUUCUUUUUUUUUUUUGUUUUAAAAUGAUCAAUACAUUUUGAAGAAUCUGCUUGAAACGACGUAAACGUGGUUGUAAACAUAUAAUUUAUAUUAAAAAGAUAAAAGAAAUUUUUUUCUUCCUCGAAAUUAAUAGUUCAAAAAUUUUAUUUAUUAUUUAUUCAUUUAUUUAUUUAUUCACGGAAUAAAUUCUUUAUACUGGCCCAUAAAAUAUAAUACUAUAUUAAUUAUAUCUCUUUUUACGUUUUCAUGAAAAUUAUCGCUAACCGAAUUAAAAAAAAAAAAAGAAAAGAAAAAGAAAGAAAUCAUUACGAAGCAAAGCCUUUCGUUCAUCCACUUAAGUCUCGAAUAAAAUCAACUAACCAGUUCCAGCUCACAGUGCUGCCAACGUUUAUCUACGCUGCUCUCACAUAGUGGCAGCACUUUUAUCACAGUUGCAAGGGAAAAAAGACGGGACACAGAAGCACUUACGAUCGAGCUCGUUAUCUCGAGGAGCUUAGCUCUGCUUGCCUCAUAAAUAAUUCAUUCGGCGGUCAGGUUUCUCGAAGGGACAUUUCUUCUUCUUCUUCUUCUUUUUUCUUUUUUUUCUCUUCUUUUCCGACGCCACACACUCGUCGUCGUCCAUCGAAUCAUUGGUACAACGUCUCGCGUGCAACGCGAAACAACGUGCUUCUCCACGAUCGUUUGCUUUCGUAUCUUUCGCCGCGAACUUCUCGAAUUCUAAAUAUAAUCGAAAUGGGUACCUCGAGUUUCGAUCACGUGCAACUUCAUCUCGAACGUAGGUCAAGAUUUUUUUCUUCUUUUUCUUGUGAAAGAAAGUCGAAGUGGAAACUAAUUAUUGCAUCCUUGAGUAUUUAGAAAUUCUAAAUAUCUCAGAAUAAAUUUGUCAAAAUGAUUAGUUUUACGUUUUUUGUUCUUCUGUUUUUCUGCUCAGCUUGAAUUGAAUUUAUGUAAGUUUAAUAAUAUAUUUAUGAUUAGUAUCCUAGAUUUUUAUCGUGAAAAUAAAUAAAUAUAUAUUUUAUGCGUGAUAAGUAACGCAUAAAUUAGUUUUGUUAAUGUUAAAAAAAAAUAACUAUUACAAAUAGAUAUGUGUUGUAA
Apis cerana (Asiatic honeybee) is the source of this 3338-nucleotide RNA transcript. RefSeq lists it as uncharacterized. The record is from RefSeq and is a predicted model, not a curated record. Lineage: Eukaryota; Metazoa; Arthropoda; Insecta; Hymenoptera; Apidae.